UGCCAGCCGCCGCGGUAAUACGAAGGGCCCGAGCGUUAAUCGGAAUCACUGGGCUUAAAGCGUACGCAGGUGGAUGUGAAGGCAUCUUGUGAAAUCCCUCGGCUCAACCGAGGAAUUGCUCGGUGAACCACACGUCUUGAGGCAGGUAGGGGUUGUCGGAACGCUAGGUGGAGUGGUGAAAUGCGUUGAUAUCUAGCGGAACGCCAAAGGAGUAAUCUGGCAACUGGGCCUGUCCUGACACUGAGGUACGAAAGCGUGGGGAGCGAACGGGAUUAGAUA
This 279-nucleotide ribosomal RNA is filed under the name uncultured bacterium. Its description in RNAcentral is "partial 16S ribosomal RNA". It matches the Rfam family "Bacterial small subunit ribosomal RNA", at positions 506 to 784 of the family's 1533-position model. The record is from RNAcentral.